This 603-nucleotide long non-coding RNA is filed under the name Homo sapiens (human). Its description in RNAcentral is "HSALNT0086483". Lineage: Eukaryota; Metazoa; Chordata; Mammalia; Primates; Hominidae. The record is from RNAcentral.
GAAAUCGGAGUGUAUAGUAUUUUUUCUUUUCCCAAUUAUGUUUGUAAUUUGCUUUCAUUCUCUUUGGAAUAGGCAGUGCUGCUUUUAUACUAGAAUCAGGUUACAAGCACCCCAGGAGGAGUCAUUAGCUUUAACAGAAUUUCCCUCUCAGGAGUGGACAGCUAGUGUUCUAAACAGAAACACCAAAAGCAGCGGUUUCAAGUGCUUUUCGUAUCUGUAUCUCAGUCACGUCCAGAGAUUUCGAUAAUCAGCAGAGUAAAUGUGUGAAAUAUAUUUUUGAAAUUCAUAGCUUGUUGAUCAUUAUAAUAGAUACUAGUAGUGGCUCUCACUGGCAAAACUAGAGUCCCAGCACUUUGGGAGGCCGAGGCAGGAGGACCAUUUUAGCCCAGGAGUUUUGAGACUAGUCUGGCCAACAUAGCAAGACUCCAUCUCUAAAAAAAAUUUUUUUUUUUUAAUUAGCCAGGUGUGGAGUAUGCAUGUAGUCCCAGCUACUCCAGAGGCUAAGGCGGGAGGAUUGCUUGAGCCCAGGAGUUCAAGGCUGCAGUGAGCUAUGGUCAUGCCACUGCACUCCAGUCUGGCAGGAGAGUGGGACCCUGUCUCAAC